RNAcentral lists this ribosomal RNA (531 nucleotides) under uncultured bacterium. RNAcentral describes it as "bacterial SSU rRNA". It matches the Rfam family "Bacterial small subunit ribosomal RNA", at positions 384 to 909 of the family's 1533-position model. The record is from RNAcentral.
UGAUCCAGCCAUCCCGCGUGUGCGAUGAAGGCCUUCGGGUUGUAAAGCACUUUUGGCAGGGAAGAAACGGCCUGAGAUAAUACCUUGGGCUAAUGACGGUACCUGCAGAAUAAGCACCGGCUAACUACGUGCCAGCAGCCGCGGUAAUACGUAGGGUGCAAGCGUUAAUCGGAAUUACUGGGCGUAAAGCGUGCGCAGGCGGUUCGGAAAGAAAGGUGUGAAAUCCCAGGGCUUAACCUUGGAACUGCACUUUUAACUACCGGGCUAGAGUACGUCAGAGGGGGGUAGAAUUCCACGUGUAGCAGUGAAAUGCGUAGAGAUGUGGAGGAAUACCGAUGGCGAAGGCAGCCCCCUGGGAUGAUACUGACGCUCAUGCACGAAAGCGUGGGGAGCAAACAGGAUUAGAUACCCUGGUAUCCACGCCCUAAACGAUGUCAACUAGCUGUUGGGGUUUAUUAACCUUAGUAGCGCAGCUAACGCGUGAAGUUGACCGCCUGGGGAGUACGGUCGCAAGAUUAAGACUCAAAGGAG